GAUUCGUCACACUAUCAUUAACUGAAUCCAUAGGUUAAUGAGGCGAACCGGGGGAACUGAAACAUCUAAGUACCCCGAGGAAAAGAAAUCAACCGAGAUUCCCCCAGUAGCGGCGAGCGAACGGGGAGGAGCCCAGAGCCUGAAUCAGCAUGUGUGUUAGUGGAAGCGUCUGGAAAGGCGCGCGAUACAGGGUGACAGCCCCGUACACAAAAGCGCAUGUGCUGUGAGCUCGAUGAGUAGGGCGGGACACGUGGUAUCCUGUCUGAAUAUGGGGGGACCAUCCUCCAAGGCUAAAUACUCCUGACUGACCGAUAGUGAACCAGUACCGUGAGGGAAAGGCGAAAAGAACCCCGGCGAGGGGAGUGAAAAAGAACCUGAAACCGUGUACGUACAAGCAGUGGGAGCACCCUUCGGGGUGUGACUGCGUACCUUUUGUAUAA
RNAcentral lists this ribosomal RNA (440 nucleotides) under Salmonella enterica. Its description in RNAcentral is "partial 23S ribosomal RNA". It matches the Rfam family "Bacterial large subunit ribosomal RNA", at positions 137 to 615 of the family's 2925-position model. RNAcentral also lists the same sequence under 2 other names. The record is from RNAcentral. Lineage: Bacteria; Pseudomonadati; Pseudomonadota; Gammaproteobacteria; Enterobacterales; Enterobacteriaceae.